UACUCGAGUGGCGAACGGGUGAGUAACACGUGGGUGACCUGCCCUGCACUUCGGGAUAAGCCUGGGAAACUGGGUCUAAUACCGGAUAGGAGCAAUUUUUAGUGUGAUGGUUGGAAAGUUUUUUCGGUGUAGGAUGAGCUCGCGGCCUAUCAGCUUGUUGGUGGGGUAAUGGCCUACCAAGGCGGCGACGGGUAGCCGGCCUGAGAAGGUGGACGGCCACAUUGGGACUGAGAUACGGCCCAG
RNAcentral lists this ribosomal RNA (243 nucleotides) under uncultured Actinomycetales bacterium. Its description in RNAcentral is "partial 16S ribosomal RNA". It matches the Rfam family "Bacterial small subunit ribosomal RNA", at positions 88 to 334 of the family's 1533-position model. The record is from RNAcentral. Lineage: Bacteria; Bacillati; Actinomycetota; Actinomycetes; Actinomycetales.